Molecule: long non-coding RNA, 695 nt
Filed under: Equus caballus (horse)
Lineage: Eukaryota; Metazoa; Chordata; Mammalia; Perissodactyla; Equidae
Description: lncRNA (ENSECAG00000043344.2)
Source: RNAcentral
AGUUGGUGGGGACUCUGCUCCAAGUCAUCCUCACUUCAAAAGCAGCCAUCACUGGACCAUUGCCAGUUUACCUGGGCAGAUCAAAGAAGAGGUGGUGAAUUAUGUAGCAACUCUUAAAGUCUCAACAGGAAGUGGCACCAUUAUUUCUACCCAUGUUUUACUUAACAAAGCAAGUCAGAUGGCCACAGCUCAUUUCAAAGCAGAGCUACAAAGAAUGAUCCAUGGGAAGAAGGAAGAUGCACAAGAACCCAACCAGAUGGUGGUCCACAGAAGACCUUUGAUGAUUAAAAUGGUCUGCCUACCAACACCCUAAGAAGGAUCCUGCAAAGAUAGUUUCACCAUUCCCCAGCAACCAUAUCAGGAAAAUUUCAAUUCUAAUAAAGAGAGAAGAAAACUGUCCCCCAGAAUGGAAUAUGUCGAAUGGGAGUGACCUUUGUCCUUCAAAGUCAAGGAAUGCACCACCAGGAGGCACAAGUCAAAAUGGAAGUCACAGGGCAUGACCUCAAUAACCGUGAUUGGAGUGGAUCAGAGGGCACUACCCUUGGGAUUGGAGACUAACGAAGAAAUCAUCUGCCCCAUGACCGCUUCUAUGCUCUUGGUCCAUUUCCUCUCCUGUAACAAGGAGAUUUGCAAAAGAAUGCAGGAACUUCAUCUCACAGAAGUCCACAAACUGGAGAAGGACUAUUCUAGAAAAA